CUUUCCAAAGUCGAAGAAAAGAUCAGCCAUACAAUGGAAGAGCUGGAGACCUACUGAAAGCGAGCCCGAUUGCUAGAAGAAGAAUUGGAGAGAACCAUUCAUUCCUGUCAGGGGCAGAUUAUUUCCUCUGAGAAAAAAGCACAUGAUAGUGAGUUGGCAGCUCAGGUUGCUGAAAGAAACCUCAGUUAUUUCAGGAAACAAAAUGCUCACAACAGAUAAAAAUUAACUGAGAAGGAGCUUAGAUUUGAACUUGUA
This 255-nucleotide long non-coding RNA is filed under the name Marmota monax (woodchuck). Lineage: Eukaryota; Metazoa; Chordata; Mammalia; Rodentia; Sciuridae. The record is from RNAcentral.